AUUAAUAAGUAUAGUGCUACAUUUGUAUUAUAAAUGAAUAAACUAAAAAUCUUGGUGAAAUC
Molecule: transfer RNA, 62 nt
Filed under: Ulva australis
Lineage: Eukaryota; Viridiplantae; Chlorophyta; Ulvophyceae; Ulvales; Ulvaceae
Description: tRNA-Asn
Source: RNAcentral